This 253-nucleotide ribosomal RNA is filed under the name uncultured bacterium. RNAcentral's name for it is "partial 16S ribosomal RNA". It matches the Rfam family "Bacterial small subunit ribosomal RNA", at positions 524 to 776 of the family's 1533-position model. The record is from RNAcentral.
UACGUAGGGAGCGAGCGUUGUCCGGAUUCAUUGGGCGUAAAGCGCGCGUAGGCGGUUUGGUAAGUCGGAUGUGAAAUCCCGAGGCUCAACCUCAGGACUGCAUCCGAUACUGCCCGACUAGAGGUAGGUAGGGGAGAUCGGAAUUCCAGGUGUAGCGGUGAAAUGCGUAGAUAUCUGGAGGAAUACCGGUGGCGAAGGCGGCAUCCUGGACCGAGAUUGACACUGAGGAGCGAAAGCCAGGGGAGCAAACGGG